GGCCAUAAUAGCUCAGUUGGUACAGCAUGCAGCUCUUAAUCUAAGGGUUGUGGGUUCAAGCCCCACAAUGGACA
Non-coding RNA from Podarcis lilfordi (Lilford's wall lizard), 74 nucleotides. Lineage: Eukaryota; Metazoa; Chordata; Lepidosauria; Squamata; Lacertidae. The record is from the annotation of a GenBank genome assembly.